GUAGGGAAUCUUCCGCAAUGGACGAAAGUCUGACGGAGCAACGCCGCGUGAGUGAGGAAGGCCUUCGGGUCGUAAAGCUCUGUUGUGAGGGAAGAACAAGUACCGGGGUAACUACCGGUACCUUGACGGUACCUCACCAGAAAGCCACGGCUAACUACGUGCCAGCAGCCGCGGUAAUACGUAGGUGGCAAGCGUUGUCCGGAAUUAUUGGGCGUAAAGCGCGCGCAGGCGGCUUCUUAAGUCUGAUGUGAAAUCUCGGGGCUCAACCCCGAGCGGCCAUUGGAAACUGGGAAGCUUGAGUGCAGAAGAGGAGAGUGGAAUUCCACGUGUAGCGGUGAAAUGCGUAGAUAUGUGGAGGAACACCAGUGGCGAAGGCGACUCUCUGGUCUGUAACUGACGCUGAGGCGCGAAAGCGUGGGGAGCAA
Molecule: ribosomal RNA, 425 nt
Filed under: uncultured Bacillus sp.
Lineage: Bacteria; Bacillati; Bacillota; Bacilli; Caryophanales; Bacillaceae
Description: bacterial SSU rRNA
Rfam family: Bacterial small subunit ribosomal RNA
Source: RNAcentral